UACGAAGGGAGCAAGCGUUGUCCGGAAUCAUUGGGCGUAAAGCGCGUGUAGGCGGUCCGGUAAGUCCGCUGUGAAAGUCGGGGGCUCAACCCUCGAAUGCCGGUGGAUACUGUCGGGCUUGAGUGCGGGAGAGGCGAGUGGAAUUCCUGGUGUAGCGGUGAAAUGCGCAGAUAUCAGGAGGAACACCGAUUGCGAAGGCAGCUCGCUGGAACGUUACUGACGCUGAGACGCGAAAGCGUGGGGAGCAAACAGG
Molecule: ribosomal RNA, 253 nt
Filed under: uncultured bacterium
Lineage: Bacteria
Description: partial 16S ribosomal RNA
Rfam family: Bacterial small subunit ribosomal RNA
Source: RNAcentral